AAAGGCUAAUACCAGACCUGAUCUAGUUUAACGAAUGAAGUAACAUCAUUCUGGUGAGUCAAAAGUUUUAGUGUUUGGCACUUUAAUUGGGGCAAUUACGGAGAAGAUUAAUCCUCCGCUAUGAAAUUUUUAAUCUCAAAACUACCGUUUUGAUAUAACGUUACAAUAAAUGAUCCACUAACUCAUUAGUGAACAAAGGAACAAAUUACCGUAGGGAUAACAGCGUUAUUCUCUUGAAGAGUUCAUAUUGAUAAGAGAGUUUGCGACCUCGAUGUUGGAUCGGGACUUCCAGGAAAUGCAGCAGUUUCCAAGGGUUGGUCUGUUCGACCAUUAAAGUCCUACGUGAUCUGAGUUCAGACCGGCGUGAGCCAGGUCAGUUUCUAUCCACGAUUAAUAAGUUUAACUACUUUCUUUAGUACGAAAGGACCAGGAAAGUGAUGUCUAUGCUUAAAAGUAAACAUCAGAAGAUAUACUGUA
RNAcentral lists this ribosomal RNA (477 nucleotides) under Ophidiaster ophidianus. RNAcentral's name for it is "partial 16S ribosomal RNA". It matches the Rfam family "Bacterial large subunit ribosomal RNA", at positions 2189 to 2775 of the family's 2925-position model. Lineage: Eukaryota; Metazoa; Echinodermata; Asteroidea; Valvatida; Ophidiasteridae. The record is from RNAcentral.